Oribacterium sp. is the source of this 124-nucleotide non-coding RNA. The record is from Rfam. NCBI's taxonomy places the organism in Bacteria, Bacillati, Bacillota, Clostridia, Lachnospirales, Lachnospiraceae.
CACAUCGUGAGGUGUGGACGAGAAGAAGCAAUAGCAAAAUCGUAGCCUGACGAACAGAAACCUAAUAUCAAGGCUUGCAUAACGACAGCAAAGUGGGAAAUGGAAUUAUCUGAUAUGAGUUUUU